RNAcentral lists this long non-coding RNA (578 nucleotides) under Nicotiana benthamiana. RNAcentral's name for it is "long non-coding RNA (NBEN_LNC003034)". The record is from RNAcentral. Lineage: Eukaryota; Viridiplantae; Streptophyta; Magnoliopsida; Solanales; Solanaceae.
UCCAAUAAUGCAGAACCAAACUCAAGGGUAAAACAAAGACAAGCACCCAUGCCUAGAUCUGAUACUACUAGCAGCAUAUGAUGUCGAAACCAUAAUAGAGGCACAUUUGCUAACUAACAGAAUUUAAACACUUAAUUACAACCCACCCCUCAGUAAUUAUAUGUGAAUCAUGAAUUUAAAAGAAGAACAGACGAUUUAGAUAACAUGGCACCAAACUUCAUCUUAUUCAAAUUCAUAUUUCAAGUUAUACAUCAAGUGAUGUCCAUAGGGCUGAAUAAUACCUGAAAUUUGCAAAAAAAGAAGAAGAGGUGAGGAGCAAUAAACAACAGCGGCAACGGAAUCCAGUAAGAAGGAAUCAACACCAAUUUAAACCUAAAAAUGUUGUGCCAUUGUCUAGAAACAGUUUCAAUCAAACAAAGACCCAGCAAACCUCAAACCAGACUCGAUCUCAAACCAUUAUAAUCUCAGCUAACCAGAAAUUGCUUUAGAAUUAGAGAAACUUCAGAAAUCACCAAAAGAAUUCAAUGGAACAGUGUUUUUCUAAAGUUUCCAGUCGUUUUCGUUUUUCUAAUUUUUUU